Molecule: ribosomal RNA, 257 nt
Filed under: uncultured bacterium
Lineage: Bacteria
Description: partial 16S ribosomal RNA
Rfam family: Bacterial small subunit ribosomal RNA
Source: RNAcentral
UACGUAGGGUGCAAGCGUUAAUCGGAAUUACUGGGCGUAAAGCGUGCGCAGGCGGUUGUGCAAGACAGAUGUGAAAUCCCCCCGGCUCAACUGGGGGAACUGCACAGGAGACUGCUUGGCUUGAGUUCGGGGAGAGGGAAGCGGAAUUCCGCGUGUAGCAGUGAAAUACGUAGAUAUCAGGAGGAAUACCGGUGGCGAAGGCGGCUGCCUGGUCCUACACUGACGCUGAGAUACGAAAAGCGUGGGGAUCAAACAGG